GUGAGCUUAGCAUUCAGCUAGUUUAGUCCUGAGCAGCUGGCUGAGCACCUGCAGGGGAAAGCAGAGAUGGGUGUUCUUUCUGCUGGAAGGGAUGUGACACACAUGGAUCAGCUGAGGAGAUGAAGGGCUGGCCAUCUCCAGAAGAUAACAGAGACUAACCAUGCUUAAGUCCUGCCUAGAAGCCUUUGUCUUCUGAUCAUAGAUUAGUUUGCAAAAGGUUGAUUGAUCUAUUGGGGAGAGAGGGAAGGCAAGAAGAACGAGACCCACAAAAGAUGACUUGACCUGCUCAACAGUCACACAGCAGCUGUGUUGCCUGUUCCCCCCCGGCUGCUGUAUACCACACAGAAAGUUCUGCCUAUGCCACUUAAGCCACAGGUUGGUCACCCCUGUGCCAGAUGGAAGUCAGGAGGAGGGCCCAGCUCAGCCAGAUUGGAGGAGCACUUGGAAACCAUAAAUUGCUGGUAUGAGCAAGACAGUGAGCUGGCCUGCAUGCAGCCCAUAUAUUGCAACAGAUGCCUACCCUCCUGCAGGAUAGUGAUUGUGGAUCAUGCCCCACCCAGCAGUAGCAUAGCUAAAGGUGGGGUUGACUAGGGCAUCAGCCCUGGGCAUUGAAUUAAGGUGGGGAGGGGGUGUGCAAAAAUAGCAGCUACUACACUGUCAUCCUGGCCACCAGUGCCACUGCUGACAGCACAACCACUGGUGCUACCCAGUGUGCAGAAGUGCUCAGGGCUGCCUCAGCUAGCACCCACUCCUGCUGGGCCUGGGCAACAGCUAGAGGCUCGUGCAACCAAGUGGUUUGAAGCCUGUACCAGGUAGUGGUGGCUGCACAGCUGAAAAACAUGAGGAAGAAGAUUUUUCUGUGCUGAGCGAUGACUGCCCAUGAGGGUGAGAGCUGUCCUGGGCAUGGAGGACAGCACAACAGCCUUAUGGAAGAUGGCUCCCUAGGAUGUGGCCAGCAACUCCUGAAUGGGUGCAGGGUACCCCAGGCAAUGCUGCAGAAGUGUGCGAGUGAGGUGACUGUUAUCCCAGAGACUGCUGAGACACUGCAACAACUGGGCUGUGCAGGACUCAUGGAUGGACCCCUAGCUGCCCAUUUGGUUCCUUAUUUUCCUGGUAUGUCAGCUGGUGUAGCAGAAAGCCCCUUUUUCCUCUUGCCUGCAUUUGCUUUCCCCUCUUUGGAUAUGUUUCUCC
Molecule: long non-coding RNA, 1191 nt
Organism: Alligator sinensis (Chinese alligator)
Lineage: Eukaryota; Metazoa; Chordata; Crocodylia; Alligatoridae
Exons: 3
Source: RefSeq, a predicted model, not a curated record